This 593-nucleotide ribosomal RNA is filed under the name uncultured bacterium. RNAcentral describes it as "bacterial SSU rRNA". It matches the Rfam family "Bacterial small subunit ribosomal RNA", at positions 9 to 647 of the family's 1533-position model. The record is from RNAcentral.
GAGUUUGAUCAUGGCUCAGGAUGAAUGCUGGCUGUAUGGAUAAGGCAUGCAAGUCGAACGGCCCGCAAGGGCAGUGGCAGACGAGGUAGUAACACGUACGAACGUACUCCAAAGUCGGGCAUAGCCAACCGAAAGGUUGGGUAAUUCCCGAUAGUCCCUACGGGGUAAAGAUUUAUCGCUUUGGAAGCGGCGUGCGUAAUAUCAGCUUGUUGGUAAGGUAAUGGCUUACCAAGGCUACGACGUUUAGGGGAGCUGAGAGGCUGACCCCCACCGAUGGGACUGAGACACGGCCCAUACUCCUACGGGAGGCCGCAGUCGAGAAUCUUCCGCAAUGGACGCAAGUCUGACGGAGCGAUACAGCGUGGUAGAUGAAGUGCUUCGGCACGUAAAUACCUUUUAUGAGGGACGAAAUUAUUGACGGUACCUCAUGAAUAAGGGGCUCCUAACUCUGUGCCAGCAGGAGCGGUAAUACAGAGGCCCCAAGCAUUAUCCGGAAUCACUGGGCGUAAAGGGUGUCAAGGCGGUCAUAUUAGUCUUCCGUUAAAUCCAGGAGCUCAACUUCUGGCCCGCGGGAGAAACGGUAUGACUAGAGG